AGGUAAUCACAAAAGCUUUAAACAAGUAUUUUUUAUCAUCAUCAGAAAGGGCGAGAUUGUUAGCAACAUGGUUCAAUUGAAGUCAAAAGAGUUUUGAUGAUGAAGCUAACCUUGGGUUUGAAAAUUAGAGAAAUUGUUAUUGUUAGGUAUUCGGGUAAGAAUUCCUAACUAGCUCUCUUUCACACACACACUCAAGUAAUCACAGAUCAAGAAAGAUGAAAAAUACGUGUUGCAUUCACAUGAAAGAAUCAAGAAUGCAAAGAAAACACAGGAGCUUAACCUCCUUCACCAGAUACAAGUAUCGGUCAACAAUNUUAUCAAAGUCUCUAACUNUCCUCUCAAAACAAUAACAGGGGUCUUUAUAUAGACCCUGUCCCGCCCCCUUCUUAUUUUUGUAUUCUUUUCACCCUUUACUAUACUCUCUAAGUCCUAACAAUACUCCUCCCCUGAAAAUCGACCUUGUCCCCAAGGUCGGACUGAAUAUGCUCCAGCAUCGUCAUCCUACUCCGCCUGCCGCGAAGGUAGUAGCCCCAUCCGUUUCUGCUCAACUUCUACCCCUUCGUCCUCUUCUUCAUCUUCUGCCAACAACACCACGCGUAGGCUCUUCUCAGGACAUUGGUGUCCAGGGCUGAAAGGCCCCCCACAACGAAAGCAUCUCCCUUCUUCCCGACAUUUCAAAUACUCCGGGUAAGGCAAAUUUCUUGAAUUCUGAUUCCGACUGUCACCUCCUCCGUAACUUCCGCCCCUCGCCGGUCCAUUUUCCGUCGCGCUAUCAUGUCUCACCGACCCGACACUCUCGGUCGGUGUCGCUCUUCCCAGAUUAAUUCUCGGCAGCUCUGUCCUGGCCACCACAACUCCUUCUCCGGUCGUCCGCCCCCAAUAAGGAAGGUUUUUGACCACGGUCCACCCUAUCAAUCCUAAGCCACGAAGAGCCUCCUCCACAUCUCGCACAACAUUCAUCGCCGACAUCAAAUUGCGGGGGUCAUGGGGUCGCAUCUGACAUCGCAACUCCUCGCGUAAGCCCGCCAGAAAGUAUCCCAGCAAUUGGUUAUCCGUAAACUCCUUCGUCUGUCCAGCCAAAGCCUCGAACUCUCACACGUAUUCCUCCACGGUGGCCGUCUGUCAGAUCGCCGCCAUCGUCUCGAAAAUCCCGCCUCGGUGACGACUCUCGAAAUGAAUCAACAGUGCCUCCUUGAGGCCCUCCCAGGUUUGGUUUCUCGCCUUAUCCUUCCAAAAUUUGAACCAGUAUCUGGCGCUUCCCUCCAUGCUGAUAUGGGCCAAUUCGACUUUCUCUGCAUCCGCUACCUUUUGAAUCUGGAAAAAUUUCUGUGCCCUGUUAAUCCAAUUCAAAGGAUUGGGCCCCUAAAAAAUGGGUAAUUCCACCCUUCGUCUCCAAUUGGGUAGGUUUUCUUAUCGCUCUUUGUCCCCUUCACCUCCGUUGUUCACGCGCUGGUUAUCACCAUCGUUAUUGACCGACCUUUGACUCCCUUCGGAACUUUCCUCCCCUUGCUUGUUGCGCUGACCCAUUAUCUUUAUCAAUUCUUGAAUGUCUUUGCGCAUCGCGAUCGACUCUUGGCGGUUUGCUGCCGUUUCCGCCUUCAAUCCAUCUACCGCCAACUCUAGGUGCUCCAUCUUUCCCUCGACUACUUUUAUUCUUCCCUCCAUCGGCCUUGUUUUCCUCUGAACCGAUCCGGCAGGUUGGACCACUUUGUUAGGUAUUCGGGUAAGAUUUCCUAACUAGCUCUCUUUCACACACACACUCAAGUAAUCACAGAUCAAGAAAGUUGAAAAAUAUGUGUUGUAUUCACAUGAAAGAAUCAAGAAUGCAAAGAAAACACAGGAGCUUAACCUCCUUCACCAGAUACAAGUAUCGGUCAACAAUUUUAUCAAAGUCUCUAACUAUCCUCUCAAAACAAUAACAGGGGUCUUUAUAUAGACCCUGUCCCACCCCCUUCUUAUUUUUCUAUUCUUUUCACCCUUUACUAUACUCUCUAAGUCCUA
RNAcentral lists this long non-coding RNA (2001 nucleotides) under Vigna radiata. RNAcentral describes it as "long non-coding RNA (VRAD_LNC002723)". The record is from RNAcentral. Lineage: Eukaryota; Viridiplantae; Streptophyta; Magnoliopsida; Fabales; Fabaceae.